Molecule: long non-coding RNA, 345 nt
Filed under: Mytilus galloprovincialis (Mediterranean mussel)
Lineage: Eukaryota; Metazoa; Mollusca; Bivalvia; Mytilida; Mytilidae
Source: RNAcentral
AACACGCCUGGAAAGUAAAAUGCGUACUCGGCUGUCUGUAAUCGACCAUUUUUAGACACCACAGGCUCCUAAAAAAACAAGCCGGGGUGGGGGUUCAAAGAUGCAAAUUAAGUACUUAUAUCAAUAUUUUAUCUUUUCGUGUACGGUUUAUGACCCCUCCUGUGGCCUGUCAAUUCCGAAAUGUGCAAACUGCAAUAGUAUCAAAACAGCACAGACAAUGAAUAAUAGAGAUAUAAUUUUGUACAUAUAUCAAGGGGAAACUUCUUGCAAAGCAUUAUUAUUUAUAGUUCAUUAUUGUAUUUAGUAGAAAAAGAGAAUUUAGUGAAAAUAAAAUCACUAUUUUUG